GUACUCAACUCUCAGGAUGUCAUCAAUAUACUGGGUGACUAGAACUUUCCUGCUCCUGGACUGGUUGAAGGUGGCAUACUGCAGAGGUGUGAGCCUUCCUUCAGGAGUGUACCACAGGCAGUAACAGGGAGACUGGAAAAUCUUGUCAUGGAAGCAACGAUAUGCCAAAGCCACAGGAAAGUCUGCAUCCUCCUCCAGUCUCUUUGCAUCUUAACAUUGUCACUUGGUCCCAUCCCUGAGAGCACCAUUCAGCCUGAGACGUGUGUAUCUACAGAGGUCCUUAUCAAAGGAGUAUCAAUCAGACUGUGGUGUGAGGUUUCUCUGGCCUUUUGCCCAUAGCUGUCAAAUCUCCUCCUCAGAAAAUAAUUUGAUUUUAAGUCUCAUUCCCA
This is a non-coding RNA of Rattus norvegicus (Norway rat), 389 nucleotides long. Lineage: Eukaryota; Metazoa; Chordata; Mammalia; Rodentia; Muridae. The record is from RefSeq and is a predicted model, not a curated record.